GCCAGCGCUCAGUCAGCUGUCCAGGUGCCGUGUCUGGCUCAGUGUUACAGCGCUGGUAGAGAAAGUCUCUGUAGUGGCUCUCAGCUCUGCAGGCUCUGUUUUAGAGUGUGCUGCUGUUGAGCUGCUGCAGAGCCUGGCCCAACGAGAGUGGCCUGUCCUGAUCCCCAGCAGGGCCGGCCUAGUGACGGGCCGCACAUU
Small nucleolar RNA from Sander lucioperca (pikeperch), 198 nucleotides. Its record names the gene SNORA74. It matches the Rfam family "Small nucleolar RNA SNORA74". From Rfam's summary of the family: U19 belongs to the H/ACA class of snoRNAs. snoRNAs bind a number of proteins (including dyskerin, Gar1p and Nop10p in the case of the H/ACA class) to form snoRNP complexes. This class are thought to guide the sites of modification of uridines to pseudouridines by forming direct base pairing interactions with substrate RNAs. The record is from Ensembl. Lineage: Eukaryota; Metazoa; Chordata; Actinopteri; Perciformes; Percidae.